Long non-coding RNA from Harpia harpyja (harpy eagle), 1133 nucleotides. RefSeq lists it as uncharacterized. Lineage: Eukaryota; Metazoa; Chordata; Aves; Accipitriformes; Accipitridae. The record is from RefSeq and is a predicted model, not a curated record. The transcript has 2 exons.
UUAGGCCUUUGCUCCUUGCACUGUUGUGUUGCUGUAGUUGUAAAACACAACCUGCUGAACACUAACAGAAUCAGCUGCAGAGUGCAGACUUGGCCCUACAUGUGAUUCAGAAAGGAGCUGGAGCUAAUGGAAUCCACUACUACAUCUUGCAGCUGAAGCAGCACCUUCUCCAAAGAUGCCAAACAAAAGGCAUGUGGCCAGGGAACAAGAGAUGCUCACUUUGGGCGGAUGAAAGCUUCACUCUCAAGUAGAAGGAUAAAGAUUUCACUCCUUGUGCAGUUAAGUUUACACACUAUAGAACCUGAAUGUAUUACCUAAAAACCAAGCAUAAAAUAAAUCUAGAACUAAAAGCACAAUUUGAUGGACCAGGAUAGAAAUUUUGGAUCUAAAACCAGCCUCAUUUUACACCGAUACAGAAUUUCUUUCUCUGACUGUGAACACAAAGAUGAUACCAAUUAAUACCAGACUAACACAGGAAUGACUACAAAAUUACAUAUAUUGGAUUUAUUGAACAGUAACUCUUUACCCAGUUUUGGAAUUUCACAAUACUUAAUCAAAUUGUGUGGACUGCUAGCAUGCAUGCUGCUAGUUCUUAUUUAGUGACAUUUUAUAAUUAUUCAUGGUAAUGAAAAAAAGUAAACUCUGCAAACAUUCAGACCAUGCAAGAACUCAUAUCUUAACACAGCUGAAGAGAUAGCAACUUCUCUAAAUGAAACAUCAUAUAUUUAAAAUGUUUCACUUUAUUAACAAUAAAUUAAUCUGUGGCAUCACUGAUCAACAAAACACUAAAAGAUAAAGUGUACAUAUUGUCUACAUACUGAUCAGAAAGGCAACAUCAUUGCUACCUUCAUAAAAACCAGAGCAAUGCUAAUGAGCUUAUAUACAUAUUUCAUUUUCAACCAUAUGAACAACACUGUGAGAGAAGAAAUACAAUUCCACAUUUCCCCAAUUUUUCUAUUAAAUAAGGCAAUAAUAAAAAGCAUAGCAUCACAAUAACCUACUUAAAACUCUAGAUACUGAGUCCUGACAUAAUACAGUGCUCAGAGGAAUGUGCAAAAAUAAACAUUUGGAUUUGCACUUUGAUUCUUCAUUGUGUAAAAUUAAAAAAAACCAAACAAAACACAACCACAAAA